AUUAUGUGUCAAUUUAGCAACAAAGUUGACUGUGAAACAAAACAAAAAAAAAUACAUAAUUUAUAAAUGUAUUUUGAACUAAAACUAUUUUUUUUGCCUGGUAUUAAGAAGGGAUUGUUGGUCAUCCUGCAUACAUUUGUUAAAAAGAUAACCCUAAAAAUUGGAAGUGAUCUUGGAAAUUUAAAAUUUAUUUAAAUGAAAGGCAGUACAUUAAAAAAACCAACAAAACAGAUCAAAACCAAUUAAAUUUGCAUUAUUCCAAACCACUGAGAAUGCCCUCAUGCUUCAGAAACAGGAGCUAAACAUGUAUUCCCUCCAUGUGUGAUGCAUUUAAUAACAAAGAUCAUAUCAUAACAAUGAAAGUUUUUGGAUUUGGUUAAAUUUGAGGGCGAGAGCAUGCAGGUACAGAAAACGUUAGAUAUGUUCAUCUGCUUGAUUAAUGUGUGAUGGGAUCUGGAUUCUCUGUUCAACUUGUCGAACAUUAAUUAAACCACAUAAAACUUUCAUUUAAACUGAAUAGCCUAUGUCAAUAUCAUUUAAAAAUUCAAAGAUAAAAAUGGAAUAUGACAGGAUAUUUUUGACGUCGUCAGUCAAAAUAACGGACAACAAAAAAGUCUAGCGCAACCUCUGCUCUCAGUAUUCCUUCAAGAUCAUUUUUUAAAAUUAUUUAUUUAACUUCUAUUUAAUGAGGUGAGUUAUUAAGAACACAUUUGUAUUUACACUAACGACAUUACAUAACGGCAUUAUUAUAAAUUCUUUGGUAGAAAAACAAUCAUGUUCAUCUUAUUGGGUUAUGGUAUUUGAUUUUAGCAGUGUGCGUACUCCAGAAGACUUCAGCGGUCUUCAGUGGUGCUGAAAACUGCGUUCAGUGAGACGGUUUUAUACCCGACCGUGGGGCUGAGUGACCAAAACCUGUACUGCGUGACGUAAAGCCAUACCAUUUCAAUCAAAUGGGAGAAUCCAACUGAGCACCGUUUGACUGAACAAGGCCAGCAGUGAUUAAUUAACAAACUUACAUGAAAAUGUCAGUGCUCACACAGAAACAAAGAUAGAAAGAUAUCAUUAAAAAGUUGAUGUAGGGGUUGGUUGCACUCUAAAUACAAGUGAGGCAGUUCACACACUGCCUCCCUCCAAGUCGAAGUGUUUCACUUCAACCCAUUCCUCCAUUUUUGUAGUUCGAUAGCAGAAAUAUGAUUAUCUACUGGCACAGAAAUGUUUUAUUCUCCAAUUGAUUAAUUGAUUUUUGAGCCAUAAAUGUUACUGCCAUAUGAAUGAACACAUUUUAGAAACAGGGCCUAUGCAUAGGUCAAGAGUUGGCAAAAACUAGCACAAAAAUGUCACUGAAUGCAUUUGGAUCAUAUAGUCCUUAAUACAAAAAUGGCAAAAACAAUGCCAGAUUGUUGAUGUAAUAAGACUAUUCGAAAGACGCUGUACGGGUUAGGUCCUUAAGUAGCUAAGAACAUGGCUACUCAAGAUAAGUAGUUGUCUUAAGUAGGUAUGUUUAUAUUAGCAGGGACACAGCACUAACAUAAACAGAAGGCACAAUGUUACUGCAGUUAAAACAAUGGCUAAGUUGUCAUAUCAACACAUAAUAAAUUCUUGGCUAAAAUAAAGUUUGUCAUUUUAGUGUUAUUUGCAGCUUAUUGUUUGAUGUGUAUGUCAUUUCCAUAGAUAGAAGGAACGGAUGCCCCAAUCAAACAAAGUCUUACUCUGAAUCUUUCUUCAUGGGAGUGGAGAUUGCUGAAGUUCUGGUCCUUCUAGUCCUUAACGCAAACAAAGAGAACUUUCCAUACUCUUGUUUGUACAUUUCCAAGAAAAAUAAAUUCAACCAGGCAGUUCAUAGAGAAUAUGAUGCUGCUUAAUGGUGUAAUGUGUGAGUUAAUAUGCCCAACAACCGAAUAUUCUCAUUUAUCAACUUACAGCUUUGGCAUCAUUGAGCCCUAACCCUAAACCUUGGACUUGAAAAUUGA
Xiphophorus hellerii (green swordtail) is the source of this 1970-nucleotide long non-coding RNA. RefSeq lists it as uncharacterized. Lineage: Eukaryota; Metazoa; Chordata; Actinopteri; Cyprinodontiformes; Poeciliidae. The record is from RefSeq and is a predicted model, not a curated record. The transcript is spliced from 2 exons.